UUACAUAGGGCUUGCAUAUGUGUUUUCCUGGAUGUUUCCCAGGUCUGCUGCUGGUACCUCCUUGAAGAAAAAGUGCCUUUAUUGUAAGAACCAGCCAGCUGAAGAUGUUAUGGAGGUGAUGGAUGUGAAGGCAGGAGGAAGCCCUGCCCUGGAGGGUCUGCCUGGAGCCUCCUGGUGACACUCUGGAAUCGCAGCCAGCAGGAAAACUUGGCAGAGCUUUGCUGUGCCUCAGCCCUGCCCUGCUUCUGCAGGGCUGAUUGAUCAGCCCAGGGCUGCAGAAAUUGGGGUGAGGGAUUCAUUAGCCUGGGAUCAGCCCUCAGCACUGGAUACUCUGCUCGCUUGAAAAUAGGUAAUUAAUGGUGCUUUAUUUUUCACGUUUCCAAGGCAACACAAACCCCCAAGACAUUGUUUUCCAGACCAUGAACUGAUGCUUUUGGCUGCUGCAGAAGCUGCCCCAUCUCGUCUGAAGCUGCUGAAAAGCCUCUGCCAGUGCCUUGAUGUUCUCCCCCCACAAGGGAAUUAAUGUCUGGGAAGCAAUGGAGAGCACAGCACAAAGAGCAGGCAUGGUCCAGACCUCACAGGACUAAUUAUGCUCUUAAAGGGACUGAGUUGCUAAUCUGGGAUGGUCACAGGAGCUGCAAGAUGCAGGAUUAUCCCUUGCUGCCUCUCCACCUUUUCUUCCUGCACUUACCCAAUGCCAGCUUGUUUUUUGUCAACUCACUGGAGAAACAAGACAAUUCUAUUAAUGCAAAUUACCCUGAGCUGCAUUAACAUGACAGGAGGAAGAAAGAGAGCUCAGUUUAAAGGAAGAAUAAUCUGGACACUGGAGGAGGCAGAGCAAGGCAGGAGUGCCCACCUACAACCAUCUGACA
Long non-coding RNA from Taeniopygia guttata (zebra finch), 872 nucleotides. RefSeq lists it as uncharacterized. Lineage: Eukaryota; Metazoa; Chordata; Aves; Passeriformes; Estrildidae. The record is from RefSeq and is a predicted model, not a curated record.